UAAUAUAUCGGAACGUACCCAAGAGUGGGGGAUAACGUAGCGAAAGUUACGCUAAUACCGCAUACGAUCCAAGGAUGAAAGCAGGGGAUCUUCGGACCUUGUGCUCCUGGAGCGGCCGAUAUCUGAUUAGCUAGUUGGUGAGGUAAAGGCUCACCAAGGCCACGAUCAGUAGCUGGUCUGAGAGGACGACCAGCCACACUGGAACUGAGACACGGUCCAGACUCCUACGGGAGGCAGCAGUGGGGAAUUUUGGACAAUGGGCGAAAGCCUGAUCCAGCAAUGCCGCGUGAGUGAAGAAGGCCUUCGGGUUGUAAAGCUCUUUUGUCAGGGAAGAAACGGUGAGGGCUAAUAUCCUUCGCUAAUGACGGUACCUGAAGAAUAAGCACCGGCUAACUACGUGCCAGCAGCCGCGGUAAUACGUAGGGUGCAAGCGUUAAUCGGAAUUACUGGGCGUAAAGCGUGCGCAGGCGGUUUUGUAAGUCUGACGUGAAAUCCCCGGGCUCAACCUGGGAAUUGCGUUGGAGACUGCAAGGCUAGAAUCUGGCAGAG
Molecule: ribosomal RNA, 549 nt
Filed under: uncultured bacterium
Lineage: Bacteria
Description: bacterial SSU rRNA
Rfam family: Bacterial small subunit ribosomal RNA
Source: RNAcentral